CCUACGGGUGGCUGCAGUGGGGGAUAUUGCACAAUGGGGGAAACCCUGAUGCAGCGACGCCGCGUGGGCGAAGAAGUAUUUCGGUAUGUAAAGCCCUAUCAGCAGGGAAGAAGAAAUGACGGUACCUGAGUAAGAAGCACCGGCUAAAUACGUGCCAGCAGCCGCGGUAAUACGGGGGAUGCAAGCGUUAUCCGGAUUUAUUGGGUUUAAAGGGUGCGUAGGCUGUGAGGUAAGUCAGCGGUGAAAUGCCCCCGCUCAACGGGGUGAAGUGCCAUUGAUACUGCCUUGCUGGAAUGCGGAUGCCGUGGGAGGAAUGUGUGGUGUAGCGGUGAAAUGCUUAGAUAUCACGAAGAACUCCGAUUGCGAAGGCAGCUUACUAAACUGCCACUGACAUUGAUGCUCGAAAGUGUGGGUAUCAAACAGGAUUAGAUACCCCAGUAGUC
This 443-nucleotide ribosomal RNA is filed under the name uncultured bacterium. Its description in RNAcentral is "partial 16S ribosomal RNA". It matches the Rfam family "Bacterial small subunit ribosomal RNA", at positions 338 to 795 of the family's 1533-position model. The record is from RNAcentral.